Molecule: long non-coding RNA, 1224 nt
Filed under: Malus domestica (apple)
Lineage: Eukaryota; Viridiplantae; Streptophyta; Magnoliopsida; Rosales; Rosaceae
Description: long non-coding RNA (MDOM_LNC007308)
Source: RNAcentral
ACUUGGAGAACCUAUUCUUCCAUCCAAAUCCAUGGAUCUAAGAAGCAAGGAAUGAAGGGCCUAUCUCUUUGGGUGAUUAGCCUUUGCUUAUGCAAAGAGGAAUCUACAAAGGUAUUAAUUUCAACUCACUUUGUUUUGAGUUGAUUAUUGGUUCACCAAUCUACUAGGCUUUGAAUUUCAUGGUAAUGUUUUGUUUUUGAGUGCAUACAAGUAUGAUUCCGCCUUUAAUUGUUAAUUGCAUGCUAUAUGAUGUUGCUCAAAUGAACAUGUUUUCCCAAAAGAUUUCCUUCAAGUGGUAUCAGAGCCUAGGUCUAGUAGUUGGUGAAUCCUUUUGGGUUUUGUAGUUCAUAGUAUGUGAUCUAAAAGUUGUAAUUGUUACAAGCUUUAUUCUUGCUUCUUUGAAAGUAAAUUUUGUUGGAAAAUUUGCUAUCUCAAAUGUUGUAGAUGUUGUUCAUAUGAGCAUGAAUAUUGGAGCUAAAAUUUGGUGCCAUGCUUUUGGGAAAAUUCGGCCAAAACCAAAGGGUGGGUGGAUUUUUGGGUUCUUGUUUGACUUGUUAAAAGUGUUUUAAUGUGUUCUUUGGAACCCCUAAGUACCCUAGUUUGGUUAGAUGUUAUUUCCCUUAAGUAAGAAUGAUUUUGGAAUGUUUUUGGGUGAAAAAAGUUCAUGGAAAAAUUUGGGUUUUUCAUGGAUGUUCUUCAUUGUUCUUGAUGUUCUUGCCAAGAACAAAAAGGUUUGGUGUUUUGAUUCAAAGUUUUGAUUUAUUUCAUAAAGUUUAUGUGAUAUGUUUUUUAAAUGAUUUAUCAUGUAUUUAAAGUGUUAGAUAUUUGUAUAAAUGAUGAUUGAAAUAAUUGUGAUUGAAUUAUUUCAAAACUUAUCUUACAUACACUUGCAUGUUUUUGACAAAACUCACAAAUCAACACACACACCAACCUUAUCCCUCCCCAAAACUGGCCACUCCCUCAAAGGGAGUACUUUUGGGGCUUUUAUGCAAUUACAUAAAGUUUUGAUACUUUUGUGUAUUUUCACUUUGGCCCAAAAGUUUACGUUUUUACGUUUAGGUCCAAAAACGCUAAAGGACAAAUUGUUUUGUUCCUUUAAUGAAGUUUUUGCAUUAUUAAAAGUUUGGGUUCUAGUUGUAUUUACAUGAAGUUGUGACUUUUGUGUAUUGUACAAAGUGACCCCAAAAGUUUUUGUUAUUGCAAUAUGGCCCAAAAGUUGAGGUU